GAGACAGGACAUGUAACUGACACACGCAUGCCAGUUAUGGUUAUUCUGAUAAUAGAAAUUGACUCAAGUGACAAUUCUGAUAGUAAAAUAGAAAUUGGACCUAGUGAAAAUUUGGAUGACACCAAGUGAAACACCAAUCAUGCAUCUUAUGUGAAAUUAUAGAAUAUGGAAAAUUUGGAUACAGCAUUGUAGAAGCUGUAGGAUUUUUAAAAGGGUAUUUGUCGAAA
RNAcentral lists this long non-coding RNA (227 nucleotides) under Mytilus galloprovincialis (Mediterranean mussel). Lineage: Eukaryota; Metazoa; Mollusca; Bivalvia; Mytilida; Mytilidae. The record is from RNAcentral.